Long non-coding RNA from Aedes albopictus (Asian tiger mosquito), 733 nucleotides. RefSeq lists it as uncharacterized. The transcript is spliced from 2 exons. NCBI's taxonomy places the organism in Eukaryota, Metazoa, Arthropoda, Insecta, Diptera, Culicidae. The record is from RefSeq and is a predicted model, not a curated record.
GUGGCGCACAUUAGUAUUUGUAACCGAUAUUUUUGUGCGCUCCUGCUGCGUUGUCUGUCAGAGUAUGCAAAAUAAAAAAAUGAAAUAAAUCGGUUUCGCAAGUUUGUACUGGUUUUGUUCGUCAUACUUGCCUGUUUUUUUUUCAUUAUUCUGUGCUUGAGCCUGUUUAAUUGUUCGGGAUCUUCAAAACAAUUAUUAUCCGGAGUGGAUACUAUCGACUGAGAUCAGCGCAUACAACGCCCGAGGAGAAUGCGGAAUUGAAUCCGCAGCGGCUAGCUGACUGCAUCCACAAGCAACAACAAAUAGUUCUUUUUGUAUUUCAUGCAUUCGAAUGGUCCAUCCGGAAGAAUCGCAGUUGCAGGAUAAGUUAAUCUGGAGAUCAUCAUGGAAGCCGCGAAGCCGCCGGAUUUAAACCGACCCCUUUCAAGGUUAGACUUCCUUUCGGCGAGAGAUUGGCUUCGAAAGUGUAAAGAUGAAUGGAUCAUAGAUUUGCGACUUUAAAUGCGGAAAAGAGUUUUUAAUAUAUUCCAUUGCAUAUAGUGCACAGUGGCAUAAAAUGAAAAAGGUGUUAAGAAUAUGUUAGGCGGAAGAAGUAAUUACAGAACAUUGUAAACCUUGUUGUAAACAUUCAAUUUUAUAUUUCAGUGUGAUUUCGAAAUUAUAGUGUAAAAGACAAGAACCAGCGUUGUGGAAACAAAAUGACUAAAUAAAAGUUAUGUUAUAGAAAAUACAA